GACGAACGCUGGCGGCGUGCUUAACACAUGCAAGUCGAGCGAUGAAGCUCCUUCGGGAGUGGAUUAGCGGCGGACGGGUGAGUAACACGUGGGUAACCUGCCUCAUAGAGGGGAAUAGUCUUCCGAAAGGAAGAUUAAUACCGCAUAAGAUUGUAGUACCGCAUGGUAUAGCAAUUAAAGGAGUAAUCCGCUAUGAGAUGGACCCGCGUCGCAUUAGCUAGUUGGUGAGGUAACGGCUCACCAAGGCGACGAUGCGUAGCCGACCUGAGAGGGUGAUCGGCCACUUUGGGACUGAGACACGGCCCAGACUCCUACGGGAGGCAGCAGUGGGGAAUAUUGCACAAUGGGGGAAACCCUGAUGCAGCAACGCCGCGUGAGUGAUGGCGGUCUUCGGAUUGUAAAACUCUGUCUUCAGGGACGAUAAUGACGGUACCUGAGGAGGAAGCCACGGCUAACUACGUGCCAGCCGCCGCUGUAA
RNAcentral lists this ribosomal RNA (478 nucleotides) under uncultured bacterium. RNAcentral describes it as "partial 16S ribosomal RNA". It matches the Rfam family "Bacterial small subunit ribosomal RNA", at positions 28 to 523 of the family's 1533-position model. The record is from RNAcentral.